This 484-nucleotide small RNA is filed under the name Histoplasma capsulatum. RNAcentral's name for it is "hypothetical RNA". The record is from RNAcentral. RNAcentral also lists the same sequence under 1 other name. Lineage: Eukaryota; Fungi; Ascomycota; Eurotiomycetes; Onygenales; Ajellomycetaceae.
CUACUGGGCAAUUGAUUUUUUUCCAUGCUAUGUUACCUUAUGUGGCGUUCGGCUCUGCACCAUCCUUACAUUAUUGAAAAGAAAUGAGCCAAAGGCAUGACAAAAGACAGCCUAUCCAAAGCUGAAGAAAUCUUACCCUGUGUGGGAAAAGCAAUCGGAUGUCAAUUCUCAAUGACUUGCUACUAAGCCUAGCAAAGAAUACUGGCGUGUCUAUGGAAUGACCGGCUAGGUUCGAUGGAGAAGGGACUGACGAAAUGUUUUGACCAACUGAACAGAUAACCACAGCUAUUACGACUAUCCAGAAGGCAGCGCCAAGCAAGAUAAAAGGAAGUGUAAAAACAAGGAACCAGCUUAAAAGCCUUUUGGAAUGUCCGAGCAGAUGGUUGAGAUUGGUCGCUUGUUUGAAUUUUGUGUCUGCAUGUUGGCUGGCGUUGCUUUCCGAUGUUUGUACAGAGAUAGCGCGGUGGGUGGAAUCCAUAAGAGG